This 1032-nucleotide ribosomal RNA is filed under the name Bacillus subtilis. Its description in RNAcentral is "bacterial SSU rRNA". It matches the Rfam family "Bacterial small subunit ribosomal RNA", at positions 37 to 1050 of the family's 1533-position model. The record is from RNAcentral. Lineage: Bacteria; Bacillati; Bacillota; Bacilli; Caryophanales; Bacillaceae.
GGGCAUGCGCGUGCUAUACAUGCAGUCGAGCGGACAGAUGGGAGCUUGCUCCCUGAUGUUAGCGGCGGACGGGUGAGUAACACGUGGGUAACCUGCCUGUAAGACUGGGAUAACUCCGGGAAACCGGGGCUAAUACCGGAUGGUUGUUUGAACCGCAUGGUUCAGACAUAAAAGGUGGCUUCGGCUACCACUUACAGAUGGACCCGCGGCGCAUUAGCUAGUUGGUGAGGUAACGGCUCACCAAGGCAACGAUGCGUAGCCGACCUGAGAGGGUGAUCGGCCACACUGGGACUGAAACACGGCCCAGACUCCUACGGGAGGCAGCAGUAGGGAAUCUUCCGCAAUGGACGAAAGUCUGACGGAGCAACGCCGCGUGAGUGAUGAAGGUUUUCGGAUCGUAAAGCUCUGUUGUUAUGGAAAAACAAGUGCCGUUCAAAUAGGGCGGCACCUUGACGGUACCUAACCAAAAAGCCACGGCUAACUACGUGCCAGCAGCCGCGGUAAUACGUAGGUGGCAAGCGUUGUCCGGAAUUAUUGGGCGUAAAGGGCUCGCAGGCGGUUUCUUAAGUCUGAUGUGAAAGCCCCCGGCUCAACCGGGGAGGGUCAUUGGAAACUGGGGAACUUGAGUGCAAAAGAGGAGAGUGGAAUUCCACGUGUAGCGGUGAAAUGCGUAAAUAUGUGGAGGAACACCAGUGGCGAAGGCGACUCUCUGGUCUGUAACUGACGCUGAGGAGCGAAAGCGUGGGGAGCGAACAGGAUUAGAUACCCUGGUAGUCCACGCCGUAAACGAUGAGUGCUAAGUGUUAGGGGGUUUCCGCCCCUUAGUGCUGCAGCUAACGCAUUAAGCACUCCGCCUGGGGAGUACGGUCGCAAUACUGAAACUCAAGGGAAUUGACGGGGGCCCGCACAAGCGGUGGAGCAUGUGGUUUAAUUCGAAGCUACGCGAAAAAUCUUACCAGGUCUUGACCUCCUCUGAACAUCCUAAAAAUAGGACGUCCCCUUCGGGGGCAAAAUGACAGGGGGUGCAUGUUG